GCAGUCAAAAUAGGAUAAAGGGUCAGGAAAACCUUAAGAAUUGUAGCAAAAGAGAAACACAGACACAGUUUGAAAGUAAUAGUGAGAGAGAGAAAGUGCCAAUCCUUGGUUCCUUCUUGUCCCUGCUGCCCCUAAGCAGGUUAUUUGUUAGCCAGUUACUCAGCAAACAAGCUGUGACUCUCAUCCCCCCAUUGGCUGUCAAAUAUGAACGCAGAAGCACAGACACACAUGUGGAGAUGCACAGCUGUGUAUCAGGGUUUAUGCCAUCAGGGUUGCCGUGAAGAUGGGCUCAAGGAAAGCCAUCAUUUCCAACUGAUCACAUUGUUUUAUUUAUGGAGGCUAGAGGACAAAUGUCCACUUCAUGGGUCUUUAUUUAUAGUGUGUGGGUCCAUGUGUGUGCAUGACACAGAGUUUGGAUUAUACUGACAUUAAUGAAGUAAAAUGAGGAUAGAACGGAGGAUAAAUGCACAGUGUACAUAUGUGCACUUUCUUGUUUUUGUGUAUUUCGGAUAUAUUUGUCUACAGGCCUGCUAUAAGCCAUUCUGCAGCCUAUCAGUCAGGCCCUCUGUGUUUGUUUGCAUCGAUCUGUUCCUUCUGUCUUUAACCCUCGGACUGAUCCACAGCUCAGCUGGACAGAGAGAGAGAGCCUUUGGCAUUCUGAAGGAAAUGUCACAGCUGUCACCAGUGAAACAGAUACUUUACCUCACUCACUUACAGCGAGGAGGGAGCAGAGAUGCAAGGAGACAAGGGUUAAGGUUGGGGUUUGAGCCUAUUCCAGCUGUCACAGUGUGAGAGGUGGGAUACACUCUGGACAGGCUUCCACUGGCUAACACAGAGAAAGAGACAACCAUUAACACCUACGGCCAACUUAGAAUCACCAAUUAACCCAAGGUGAAUGUCUCUGGACUGUGGGAGGAAGCAGGAGUAGGGGGACAACACAAAACUACACACAGAAGGGGACCAGCCAGCCGGUGGAUUCAAACUCAGAAGAUUCUUGUUGUGAGCGGUGCUCUUUUUGAAAUGAAGUGAUGUGGCCCCUGGAGGUUACUGUGAUCCUCUACGGGAGACAGAUCUUAUGAGUGUGAAUACUCCCACAGAACAUCAUUCAAAAGAUAAGGACAUCUCCUGUAGCCAUUUUUGCUUUGAUGAUUACGGAAGCUUUGAUGACCACUGAAGCACCUGCUCACAUUGGCUGUCUAUUUUAUAAAGCUGGAGCUCCUGGCUGUCCUGCAAGAGCGGUUUACCUGUUAAUUAGAUGUCACUGUGGUGACAUUUAACCAGAAGAGAACAUCU
This is a long non-coding RNA of Oreochromis niloticus (Nile tilapia), 1293 nucleotides long. RefSeq lists it as uncharacterized. The record is from RefSeq and is a predicted model, not a curated record. The transcript is spliced from 3 exons. Lineage: Eukaryota; Metazoa; Chordata; Actinopteri; Cichliformes; Cichlidae.